RNAcentral lists this ribosomal RNA (623 nucleotides) under Hepatozoon canis. Its description in RNAcentral is "SSU rRNA". It matches the Rfam family "Eukaryotic small subunit ribosomal RNA", at positions 212 to 823 of the family's 1831-position model. The record is from RNAcentral. Lineage: Eukaryota; Apicomplexa; Hepatozoidae.
AGAUAAAAAGCCAGUUCAUGCUUUUACAGUAUGAAAAUUGGUGAUUUAUAAUAACUUAGCAAAUCGCAAAGUGAAAACAGGCGAUAAAUCAUUCAAGUUUCUGACCUAUCAGCUUUCGACGGUAUGGUAUUGGCUUACCGUGGCAGUGACGGUUAACGGGGGAUUAGGGUUCGAUUCCGGAGAGGGAGCCUGAGAAACGGCUACCACAUCUAAGGAAGGCAGCAGGCGCGCAAAUUACCCAAUUCUAACAGUUUGAGAGAGGUAGUAACAAGAAAUAACAAUACAAGGCAGUUAAAAUGCUUUGUAAUUGGAAUGAUAGAAAUUUAAACCCUUUUUAAAGUAUCAAUUGGAGGGCAAGUCUGGUGCCAGCAGCCGCGGUAAUUCCAGCUCCAAUAGCGUAUAUUAAAAUUGUUGCAGUUAAAAAGCUCGUAGUUGAAGUUCUGCUGAAAGUAACCGGUCUGCUUUUAAUAAAAGUGGUAUCUUGGUAUGUAUUUAGCAAUGAUGUCCUUUGAAGUGUUUUUUACUUUAUUGUAAUAAAGCAUAUUCAGGACUUUUACUUUGAGAAAAUUAGAGUGUUUCUAGCAGGCUAACGCUUUGAAUACUGCAGCAUGGAAUAAUAAUAU